GUGAAGUUUUAACGGCCGCGGUACCCUGACCGUGCAAAGGUAGCAUAAUCACUUGCCUUUUAAUUGAAGGCUAGAAUGAACGAAUAAACAAGAGAACCCCUGUCUCUAUCCAGGACUAUAAAAAUUAGUCUUCAGGUGAAGAAACCUGAAUUUAUUAAAAAGACAAGAAGACCCUUUUGAGUUUUAUUACCUCUAUAUUACUUAUUUUUCUAUUUAUCUCCAGUAAUUUGGUUGGGGCGACCAAGGAAAAUAUCUAUCUUCCUUUUUUUUGAAGGCAUAUAUGCCUAAAACUUGACCCUCUAUUGAUCAACAGAACUAACUACCAUAGGGAUAACAGGCUUAUCUUCUUUGAGAGCCCAAAUUGACAAGAAGGUCUGGCACCUCGAUGUUGGCUUAAGGUACCCUUUAAAAGCAGAAAUUUAAAACGGUUAGUUUGUUCAACUAGUAAUACCU
This 453-nucleotide ribosomal RNA is filed under the name Pholoides dorsipapillatus. RNAcentral's name for it is "partial large subunit ribosomal RNA". It matches the Rfam family "Bacterial large subunit ribosomal RNA", at positions 1912 to 2596 of the family's 2925-position model. Lineage: Eukaryota; Metazoa; Annelida; Polychaeta; Phyllodocida; Pholoidae. The record is from RNAcentral.